AAGGCUUUAGCUUAAUUAAAGCAUCUGGCUUGCAUUCAGAAGAUACAGGUUAAUACCCUGUUAGUCUUA
RNAcentral lists this transfer RNA (69 nucleotides) under Lophura edwardsi (Edwards's pheasant). RNAcentral describes it as "tRNA-Ala". It matches the Rfam family "tRNA". From Rfam's summary of the family: Transfer RNA (tRNA) molecules are approximately 80 nucleotides in length. Their secondary structure includes four short double-helical elements and three loops (D, anti-codon, and T loops). Further hydrogen bonds mediate the characteristic L-shaped molecular structure. tRNAs have two regions of fundamental functional importance: the anti-codon, which is responsible for specific mRNA codon recognition, and the 3' end, to which the tRNAs corresponding amino acid is attached (by aminoacyl-tRNA synthetases). tRNAs cope with the degeneracy of the genetic code in two manners: having more than one tRNA (with a specific anti-codon) for a particular amino acid; and 'wobble' base-pairing, i.e. permitting non-standard base-pairing at the 3rd anti-codon position. Lineage: Eukaryota; Metazoa; Chordata; Aves; Galliformes; Phasianidae. The record is from RNAcentral.